Molecule: ribosomal RNA, 497 nt
Filed under: uncultured bacterium
Lineage: Bacteria
Description: partial 16S ribosomal RNA
Rfam family: Bacterial small subunit ribosomal RNA
Source: RNAcentral
GACGAACGCUGGCGGCGUGCCUAAUGCAUGCAAGUCGAGCGAACGGACGAGAAGCUUGCUUUUCUGAUGUUAGCGGCGGACGGGUGAGUAACACGUGGAUAACCUACCUAUAAGACUGGGAUAACUUCGGGAAACCGGAGCUAAUACCGGAUAAUAUUUUGAACCGCAUGGUUCAAAAGUGAAAGACGGUCUUGCUGUCACUUAUAGAUGGAUCCGCGCUGCAUUAGCUAGUUGGUAAGGUAACGGCUUACCAAGGCAACGAUGCAUAGCCGACCUGAGAGGGUGAUCGGCCACACUGGAACUGAGACACGGUCCAGACUCCUACGGGAGGCAGCAGUAGGGAAUCUUCCGCAAUGGGCGAAAGCCUGACGGAGCAACGCCGCGUGAGUGAUGAAGGUCUUCGGAUCGUAAAACUCUGUUAUUAGGGAAGAACAUAUGUGUAAGUAACUGUGCACAUCUUGACGGUACCUAAUCAGAAAGCCACGGCUAACUACGUG